This 512-nucleotide ribosomal RNA is filed under the name uncultured bacterium. Its description in RNAcentral is "bacterial SSU rRNA". It matches the Rfam family "Bacterial small subunit ribosomal RNA", at positions 8 to 521 of the family's 1533-position model. The record is from RNAcentral.
AGAGUUUGAUCCUGGCUCAGGAUGAACGCUGGCGGCGUGCUUAACACAUGCAAGUCGAACGGGAAUUACUUUAUUGAAACUUCGGUCGAUUUAAUUUAAUUCUAGUGGCGGACGGGUGAGUAACGCGUGGGUAACCUGCCUUAUACAGGGGGAUAACAGUCAGAAAUGGCUGCUAAUACCGCAUAAGCGCACAGAGCUGCAUGGCUCAGUGUGAAAAACUCCGGUGGUAUAAGAUGGACCCGCGUUGGAUUAGCUUGUUGGUGGGGUAACGGCCCACCAAGGCGACGAUCCAUAGCCGGCCUGAGAGGGUGAACGGCCACAUUGGGACUGAGACACGGCCCAGACUCCUACGGGAGGCAGCAGUGGGGAAUAUUGCACAAUGGGGGAAACCCUGAUGCAGCGACGCCGCGUGAAGGAAGAAGUAUCUCGGUAUGUAAACUUCUAUCAGCAGGGAAGAUAGUGACGGUACCUGACUAAGAAGCCCCGGCUAACUACGUGCCAGCAGCCGCGGU